AGUUCCAAGGUGAGUAUUAUGUAGAUAUAUUUAUACAAUAUGUCAUAUCUACUAAUUAUAGAACAGGCCUUUUAGGCCAUGGCCACAUUGGGAUUGAGACACGGCCCAGACUUUUACAGGAGGCUAAGGAAUUUUUCUGCAAUGAGCGAAAGCCUAACGGGGCAAUGCCACAUGGAGGUAGAAGACCCACAGGUCGUGAACUUUUUUUCCAGAAGAAGAAAUAAUGACGGUAUUUGACAUAUUAGGAAUAACCACUCCAUACCAUGUAC
Molecule: non-coding RNA, 269 nt
Filed under: Solanum lycopersicum (tomato)
Lineage: Eukaryota; Viridiplantae; Streptophyta; Magnoliopsida; Solanales; Solanaceae
Description: Bacterial small subunit ribosomal RNA
Rfam family: Bacterial small subunit ribosomal RNA
Source: Rfam by way of RNAcentral